GAAAUGCGAUAAGUAGUGUGAAUUGCAGAAUUCAGUGAAUCAUCGAAUCUUUGAACGCACAUUGCGCCCCUUGGUAUUCCAUGGGGCAUGCCUGUUCGAGCGUCAUUUGUACCCUCAAGCUCUGCUUGGUGUUGGGUGUUUGUCCCGUCUCCGCGCGUGGACUCGCCCCAAAGUGAUUGGCAGCCGGCGUACUGGUCCCGGAGCGCAGCACAUGUCGCGCAAACGAGUGCCUUGGUACUGCGGCGUCCAUAAGCCCCUCUCUCACGCUCUUGACCUCGGAUCAGGUAGGGAUACCCGCUGAACUUAAGC
RNAcentral lists this unclassified non-coding RNA (309 nucleotides) under plant metagenome. Its description in RNAcentral is "partial contains 5.8S ribosomal RNA, internal transcribed spacer 2, and large subunit ribosomal RNA". The stretch from base 1 to 105 matches the Rfam family "5.8S ribosomal RNA", at positions 50 to 154 of the family's 154-position model. The record is from RNAcentral.